CAGGAAAGUUAUUCUUCUGUUCUCUCUGUUUUUCCUGCUUGUAAAGGGAGACUUUGACACCAGUGAUGUGGGAAGUCAAGCCAUAUCAACAGAUAAAGAUUCGUUGUCUGAUGAAGCUCCAACAGAUGAAUCCCAGUAUUAUGGAGGAGGACCAUCAG
This is a non-coding RNA of Poecilia reticulata (guppy), 158 nucleotides long. NCBI's taxonomy places the organism in Eukaryota, Metazoa, Chordata, Actinopteri, Cyprinodontiformes, Poeciliidae. The record is from RefSeq and is a predicted model, not a curated record.